CCUUAUGCAUGCAAGUCGAGCAAAGCUUUUCAGUAGUUUACUACAGAAAAUGACUGAGCGGCGAACGGGUGAGUAACGCGUGAGCAAUCUACCUUAGUUACAGGGAUAGCCCGAGGAAACUCGGAUUAAUACCUGAUAUUCUUUAUUUCUCGCAUGAGAAUAAAAGGAAAGGUCAGCCGAACUAAGAUGAGCUCGCGUUCUAUCAGCUAGUUGGUGAGGUAAAAGCUUACCAAGGCUACGACGGAUAGCUGGUCUGAGAGGACGAUCAGCCACACUGGGACUGAGACACGGCCCAGACUCCUACGGGAGGCUGCAGCAGGGAAUAUUGUGCAAUGAACGAAAGUUUGACACAGCGACACCGCGUGUGGGAUGACGGAUCUAGGUUUGUAAACCACUUUCAGGAGGGAAGAAAAUGACGGUACCUCCACAAGAAGCCCCGGCCAACUACGUGCCAGCAGCCGCGGCAAUACGUAGGGGGCGAGCGUUGUCCGGAUUUAUUGGGCGUAAAGAGCUCGUAGGCGGUUCAACAAGUCGGUCGUGAAAGUUCAGGGCUCAACCCUGAAAUGUCGAUCGAUACUGUUGUGACUAGGAUACGGUAGAGGUGAGUGGAAUUCCGAGUGUAGCGGUGAAAUGCGUAGAUAUUCGGAGGAACACCAAUUGCGAAGGCAGCUCACUGGGCCGCUAUCGACGCUGAGGAGCGAAAGCUAGGGGAGCAAACAGGAUUAGAUACCCUGGUAGUCCUAGCCGUAAACGAUGGAUACUAGAUGUAGGAACUGGAUUGACGGUUUCUGUAUCGCAGCUAACG
RNAcentral lists this ribosomal RNA (805 nucleotides) under uncultured Actinomycetes bacterium. RNAcentral's name for it is "bacterial SSU rRNA". It matches the Rfam family "Bacterial small subunit ribosomal RNA", at positions 47 to 857 of the family's 1533-position model. The record is from RNAcentral. Lineage: Bacteria; Bacillati; Actinomycetota; Actinomycetes.